GAUACCCUGUUAUUACAAAUAUAAUAAAAAAAACUAAGGUAGUAAUAGAUAUGUUCUUGAAACUUAAAAAAUUUGGCGGUAUUUUAGUCUAUUCAGAGGAACCUGUUUUAUAAUCGAUAAUCCACGAUGGACCUUACUUAUAUUUGUUAACAGUUUAUAUACCGUCGUUAUUAGAAUAUUUUAUAAGAAUAUUAAUAUUCUUAAUUUUUAUAAAAAAAUAUAUCAGAUCAAGGUGUAGCUUAUAUAUAAGUAAAAAUGGGUUACAAUAAAAUUAUUUAAAUGAAUAUAAAUUUGAAAUAUUUAUUGAAGGUGGAUUUGAUAGUAAAAUUAUAAAGAUAAAUAAUUUGAUUAUAGCUCUAAAAUAUGUACAAAUCGCCC
This 378-nucleotide ribosomal RNA is filed under the name Susamyia mira. RNAcentral's name for it is "Oestroidea gen. sp. 1 AT-2020 partial small subunit ribosomal RNA". The record is from RNAcentral. Lineage: Eukaryota; Metazoa; Arthropoda; Insecta; Diptera; Tachinidae.